AAGUCGUAACAAGGUUUCCGUAGGUGAACCUGCGGAAGGAUCAUUAAUGAAUGAAUGUAGAGUCGGUUGUAGCUGACCUCCUAGAGGUAUGUGCACGCCUUCUCUUUCAUCCACACACCCCUGUGCACUCGUGAGACAGAGGCAUUUGUUUUCCUUUAAUUAGGGAACGGGUCUCUGUCUACAUCACAUAAAAUCUAAUUUAUUUAAAACUGAAUGUAAUUGAUGUAACGCAUCUAAUACAAAGUUUCAACAACGGAUCUCUUGGCUCUC
RNAcentral lists this unclassified non-coding RNA (270 nucleotides) under fungal sp. RNAcentral describes it as "partial internal transcribed spacer region". The stretch from base 1 to 46 matches the Rfam family "Eukaryotic small subunit ribosomal RNA", at positions 1786 to 1831 of the family's 1831-position model. The record is from RNAcentral. Lineage: Eukaryota; Fungi.